UGUGUAGAGGGGAGUGAGGGUACUGUGCACUAUCAAUCAGGUAACCUUUCCUACUCUCACAGU
Monodelphis domestica (gray short-tailed opossum) is the source of this 63-nucleotide microRNA precursor. Ensembl annotates it as mdo-mir-7398i. The record is from Ensembl. NCBI's taxonomy places the organism in Eukaryota, Metazoa, Chordata, Mammalia, Didelphimorphia, Didelphidae.